RNAcentral lists this long non-coding RNA (7836 nucleotides) under Durio zibethinus. Its description in RNAcentral is "long non-coding RNA (DZIB_LNC001640)". The record is from RNAcentral. Lineage: Eukaryota; Viridiplantae; Streptophyta; Magnoliopsida; Malvales; Malvaceae.
AAAAUAAAAAAUGAAAAUGCAAAAUAUAUAAAAUAAAAUUUGAGAAAAAGAAGAAAAAAAUAAAAAAUGAAGAGGCAAAAAUAUGAAAAAAAAAUAAAAAGAAAAAAAUUUAUAGAAAAUUUUAAAACAAAGAAAAAAGUGAACAAAAAAAAAUGAAAGCACAUAAAAAAAAAGUAAAAAAAAGAAGAAAAAUUUGAAAGGAGAAAAAGUUAAUGAAAAAUUAUAAAAAUGCAAUAGAAAAUAACCAAGAAUGAUAAAAGAAAAAAAGAUAGAAAAAUAAAAAAUUCCAAAACUUUAUAAAAAUUUAUGAAAUUAUAAAUAAAGAAAGAAAAUUAAAGCAAAAGAAAAAAGAUAAAUAAAGCACAAAAAAACAAAAAUACUACAAAAAAUAUAAAAAGUAAGAAAAUGAAAAAGGACAAAAAUUGAAUAAAAAUUUCAAAAAUGAAAUGGAAUGACAAAAUGAAAAAAAUUAGUUUAAAAAAUACAAAAAAUUGAAAAACAUAUAAGUUCUAACAAUAUAAAAAGUUUGAGAAUUUAAAAACACAAAUAAGAAAUGAAAGGAAAUUUAUGGAAAAAAAAAAAGAAUUGGAAUAAAAAUAGAAAAAUAAAAUUUUUAAAACGACGAAAAAUUAAAAUAAGAAAAAAAAUUAAAGCAAAAGAAAAAAGAUAAAUAAAGCAUGAAAAAAAAAACAAAAAUACAAAAAAAAAUUAUAAAAGGUAAGAAAAUGAAAGAGGACAAAAAAUGAAUAAAAAUUUCAAAAAUGAAAUGGAAUGACAAAAUGAAAAUAAAAUUAGUUUAAAAAAUAAAAAAAAAUUGAAAAACAUAUAAGACCUAACAAUAUAAAAAGUCAGACAAAAAUUAAAAAAGAGAAAAGUUAAUGCAAAAUAAAAAAAAAAGUAUGAGAAUUUAAAAGCGCAAAUAAGAAAUGAAAGGAAAUUUGAGGAAAAAAAGAGACAAAAGAUUUGGAAUAAAAAAUAGAAAAAUAGAAAUUUUUAAAACAACAAAAAAAAUUAAAACAAGUAAAAAUGAAAGCUUAUGAAAAAAAAAGCAAAAAGAAGGCAAAUUAUGAAGGGAAAAAGUUAUUAAAAAAUUACAAAGUAGAAAAAAAGAAAAUAAAAAUAAAUUAAGAGAAAAAAUUAAAUAAAAUACCAAAAAGGAAAAAAUAAAAAUAAACAAAGUAAGAAAAUAAAAAAUUAGCGAAUCAAAAAAUAUAAAAAGACAAAAUGAAUAAAAAUUUCAAAUAUAAAAUGAAAAAAACUAUUGGUUCAGAAUGUACAAAGAAAAAUAAAAAAAAUAUAACAAACAGAGGAAAAAGAUAUAAAAUAUGAAAGAUGAAAAAUAAAAUAAAAGAAAGUGCACAAAAAAAGAAGUUUGAGGUUUUAAAACUAUAAAGAAGAAAUAAAAAAAGGUGUGAACAAAAAGAUUUAAGAAAAAAAAAUGAAAAUACAAAAUAUAUAAAAUAAAAUUUGAGAAAAAGAAGAAAAAAAUAAAAAAUGAAGAGGCAAAAAUAUGAAAUAAAAGAAAAAGAAAAAAAUUUAUAGAAAAUUUUAAAACAAAGAAAAAAGUGAACAAAAAAGAAUGAUGGCAUAUAAAAAAAAAGUAAAAAAAAGAAGAAAAAUUUGGAAGGAGAAAAAGUUAAUGAAAAAAUAUAAAAAUGCAAUAGAAAAUAACCAAGAAUGAUAAAAGAAAAAAAGAUAAAAAAAUUAAAAAUUCCAAAACUUUAUAAAAAUUUAUGAAAUUAUGAAUAAAGAAAGAAAAUAAAAUAAGAAAAAAAAUUAAAGCAAAAGAAAAAAGAUAGAUAAAGCACGAAAAAAGAAAAAAAAACAAAAAAUUAUAAAAAGUAAGAAAAUGAAAAAGGACAAAAAUUGAAUAAAAAUUUCAAAAAUGAAAUGGAAUGACAAAAUGAAAAAAAAAAUUAGUUUAAAAAAUACAAAAAAUUAAAAAACAUAUAAGACCAAACAAUCUAAAAAGUCUGACAAAAAAUUAAAAAAGAGAAAAGUUAAUGCAAAAUAAAAAAAAAGUAUGAGAAUUUAAAAACGCAAAUAAGAAAUGAAAGGAAAUUUGUGGAAAAAAAGAAAAGACAAAAGAUUUGGAAUAAAAAAGAGAAAAAUAAAAAUUUUUAAAACAGCGAAAAAAUUAAAAAAAGUAAAAAUGAAAACAUAUGAAAAAAAAAAAGCAAAAAGAAGGAAAAUUGCAAAGGGAAAAAGUUAUUAAGAAAUUACAAAGUAGAAAAAAAUAAAUUAAGAGAAAAAAUUAAAUAAAAUACCAAAAAAGGAAAAAUAAAAAAUUAGCGAAUCAAAAAAAUAUAAAAAGACAAAAUGAAUAAUCAAAUAUAAAAUGGAAAAAACUUUUAGUUUAUAAUUUACAAAGAAAAAGAAAAAAAAAAUAACAAAUAGAGGAAAAAGAUAUAAAAUACGAAAGAUGAAAAAUAAAAUAAAAGAAAGUGCACAAAAAAAUAAGUUUGAGGUUUUAAAGUUAUAAAGAAGAAAAAAAAAAGGUGUGAACAAAAAGAUUUAAGAAAAAAAUAAAAAAUGAAAAUACAAAAUAUAUAAAAUAAAAUUUGAGAAAAAGAAGAAAAAAAAAAAUGAAGAGGCAAAAAUAUGAAAAAAAAAAAAGAAAAAAUUUAUAGAAAAUUUUAAAACAAAGAAAAAUGAACAAAAAAAAUGAAAGCACAUAAAAAAAGUAAAAAAAAGAAGAAAAUUUAAAGAAAAGUUAAUGAAAAAUUAUAAAAUGCAAUAGAAAUAACAAGAAUGAUAAAAGAAAAAGAUAGAAAAUAAAAAAUUCUAAAACUUUAUAAAAUUUAUGAAAUUAUAAAUAAAGAAAGAAAAUAAAAAUACUACAAAAAACAAAAAUACUACAAAAAAAUAAAAAGUAAGAAAAUGAAAAAGGACAAAAUUGAAUAAAAAUUUCAAAAAUGAAAUGGAAUGACAAAAUGAAAAAAAUUAGUUUAAAAAAUACAAAAAAUUGAAAAACAUAAAGUUCUAACAAUAUAAAAAGUUUGAGAAUUUAAAAACACAAAUAAGAAAUGAAAGGAAAUUUAUGGAAAAAAAAAAAGAAUUGGAAUAAAAUAGAAAAAUAAAAUUUUUAAAACGACGAAAAAUUAAAAUAAGAAAAAAAUUAAAGCAAAAGAAAAAGAUAAAUAAAGCAUGAAAAAAAAAAAAAAACAAAAAAAUUAUAAAAGGUAAGAAAAUGAAAGAGGACAAAAAUGAAUAAAAAUUUCAAAAAUGAAAUGGAAUGACAAAAUGAAAAUAAAAUUAGUUUAAAAAAUAAAAAAAAAUUGAAAAAAUAUAAGACCUAACAAUAUAAAAAGUCAGACAAAAAUUAAAAAAGAGAAAAGUUAAUGCAAAAUAAAAAAAAGUAUGAGAAUUUAAAAGCGCAAAUAAGAAAUGAAAGGAAAUUUGAGGAAAAAAAGAGACAAAAGAUUUGGAAUAAAAAAUAGAAAAAUAGAAAUUUUUAAAACAACAAAAAAAUUAAAAGUAAAAAUGAAAGCUUAUGAAAAAAAAAGCAAAAAGAAGGCAAAUUAUGAAGGGAAAAAGUUAUUAAAAAAUUACAAAGUAGAAAAAAAGAAAUAAAAAUAAAUUAAGAGAAAAAAUUAAAUAAAAUACCAAAAAGGAAAAAUAAAAAACAAAGUAAGAAAAUAAAAAUUAGCGAAUCAAAAAAUAUAAAAAGACAAAAUGAAUAAAAUUUCAAAUAUAAAAUGAAAAAAACUAUUGUUCAGAAUGUACAAAGAAAAAUAAAAAAAAUAAACAAACAGAGGAAAAAGAUAUAAAAUAUGAAAGAUGAAAAAUAAAAUAAAAGAAAGUGCACAAAAAAGAAGUUUGAGGUUUUAAAACUAUAAAGAAGAAAUAAAAAAGGUGUGAACAAAAAGAUUUAAGAAAAAAAAAAUGAAAAUACAAAAUAUAUAAAAUAAAAUUUGAGAAAAAGAAGAAAAAAAUAAAAAAUGAAGAGGCAAAAAUAUGAAAUAAAAGAAAAAGAAAAAAUUUAUAGAAAAUUUUAAAACAAAGAAAAAAGUGAACAAAAAAGAAUGAUGGCAUAUAAAAAAAAGUAAAAAAAAGAAGAAAAAUUUGAAAGGAGAAAAAGUUAAUGAAAAAAUAUAAAAAUGCAAUAGAAAAUAACCAAGAAUGAUAAAAGAAAAAAAGAUAAAAAAUUAAAAAUUCCAAAACUUUAUAAAAAUUUAUGAAAUUAUGAAUAAAGAAAGAAAAUAAAAUAAGAAAAAAAAUUAAAGCAAAAGAAAAAAGAUAGAUAAAGCACGAAAAAAGAAAAAUACAACAAAAAAUUAUAAAAAGUAAGAAAAUGAAAAAGGACAAAAAUUGAAUAAAAAUUUCAAAAAUGAAAUGGAAUGACAAAAUGAAAAAAAAAUUAGUUUAAAAAAUACAAAAAAUUAAAAAACAUAUAAGACCAAACAAUCUAAAAAGUCUGACAAAAAAUUAAAAAAGAGAAAAGUUAAUGCAAAAUAAAAAAAAAGUAUGAGAAUUUAAAAACGCAAAUAAGAAAUGAAAGGAAAUUUGUGGAAAAAAAAGAAAAGACAAAAGAUUUGGAAUAAAAAAGAGAAAAAUAAAAAUUUUUAAAACAGCGAAAAAAUUAAAAAAAGUAAAAAUGAAAACAUAUGAAAAAAAAAAGCAAAAAGAAGGAAAAUUGCAAAGGGAAAAAGUUAUUAAGAAAUUACAAAGUAGAAAAAAAUAAAUUAAGAGAAAAAAUUAAAUAAAAUACCAAAAAAGGAAAAAAUAAAAAAUUAGCGAAUCAAAAAAAUAUAAAAAGACAAAAUGAAUAAUCAAAUAUAAAAUGGAAAAAACUUUUAGUUUAUAAUUUACAAAGAAAAAGAAAAAAAAAUAACAAAUAGAGGAAAAAGAUAUAAAAUACGAAAGAUGAAAAAUAAAAUAAAAGAAAGUGCACAAAAAAAUAAGUUUGAGGUUUUAAAGUUAUAAAGAAGAAAAAAAAAAAGGUGUGAACAAAAAGAUUUAAGAAAAAAAUACAAAAUAUAUAAAAUAAAAUUUGAGAAAAAGAAGAAAAAAUAAAGAAUGAAGAGGCAAAAAUAUGAAAUAAAACAAAAAGAAAAAAAUUUAUAGAAAAUUUUAAAACAAAGAAAAACCUGAACGAAAAAGAAUGAAAGCACAUAAAAAAAGGUAAAAAAAAGAAGAAAAAUUAUAAAAAUGCAACAGAAAAUAACCAAGAAUGAUAAAAGAAAAAAGAUAGAAAAAUAAAAAUUCCAAAACUUUAUAAAAUUUAUGAAAUUAUGAAUAAAGAAAGAAAAUAAAAUAAGAAAAAAAAUUAAAGCAAAAGAAAAAAGAUAGAUAAAGCACGAAAAAAGAAAAAUACAACAAAAAAUUAUAAAAAGUAAGAAAAUGAAAAAGGACAAAAAUUGAAUAAAAAAUUCAAAAAUGAAAUGGAAUGACAAAAUGAAAAAAAAAUUAGUUUAAAAAAUACAAAAAAUUAAAAAACAUAUAAGACCAAACAAUCUAAAAAGUCUGACAAAAAAUUAAAAAAGAGAAAAGUUAAUGCAAAAUAAAAAAAAAAGUAUGAGAAUUUAAAAACGCAAAUAAGAAAUGAAAGGAAAUUUGUGGAAAAAAAAGAAAAGACAAAAGAUUUGGAAUAAAAAAGAGAAAAAUAAAAAUUUUUAAAACAACGAAAAAAUUAAAAAAAGUAAAAAUGAAAACAUAUGGAAAAAAAAAGCAAAAAGAAGGAAAAUUGCAAAGGGAAAAAGUUAGUAAAAAUUUACAAAGUAAAAAAAAAUAGGGAAUCAAAAAAAAAAAAUAAACAAAGUAAGAAAAUAAAAAAUUAGGGAAUCAAAAAAUAUAAAAAGACAAAAUGAAUAAAAAUUUCAAAUAUAAAAAGAAAGUGCACAAAAAAAGAAGUUUGAGGUUUUAAAAUUACAAAGAAGAAAUAAAAAAAGGUGUGAACAAAAAGAUUUAAGAAAAAAAUAACAAAUGAAAAUAUAAAAUAUAUAAAAAAAUAUUUGAGAAAAAAAUGAGAAAAAGAAGAAAAAAAUAAAAAAUGAAGAGGCAAAAAUAUGAAAUAAAACAAAAAUACAAAAAAAGGACAAAAAUUGAAUAAAAAUUUCAAAAAUGAAAUGGAAUGACAAAAUGAAAAAAAAUUAGUUUAAAAAAUACAAAAAAAUUGAAAAACAUAUAAGUCCUAACAAUAUAAAAAUUCAGACAAAAAAUUAAAAAAGAAAAAAGUUAAUGCAAAAUAAAAAAAAGUAUGAGAAUUUAAAAAUGCAAAUAAGAAAUGAAAGGAAAUUUGUGGAAAAAAAAAGAGAAGCAAGAAAAGACAAAAGAUUUGGAAUAAAAAAUAGAAAAAUAAAAAUUUUUAAAACAAGGAAAAAAUGAAAGCAUAUGAAAAAAAAGUAAAAAGAAGGAAAUUGUGAAGGGAAAAAGUUAUUAAAAAAUUACAAAGUUGAAAAAAAAUAAAUUAAGAGAAAAAAUAAAAUAAAAUACCCAGAAAGGAAAAAUAAAAAUAAACAAAGUAAGAAAAUAAAAAAUUAGCGAAGCAAAAAAAUAUAAAAUGGAAAAAACUUUUAGUUUAGAAUGUAGAAAGAAAAAGAAAAAAAAAUAUAACAAAUAGAGGAAAAAGAUAUAAAAUAUGAAAGAUGAAAAAUGAAAUAAAAGAAAGUGCACAAAAAAAGAAGUUUGAGGUUUUAAAAUUAUAAAAAAGAAAUAAAAAAAGAUGUGAACAAAAAGAUUUAAGAAAAAAUAAAAAAUGAAAAUACAAAAUAUAUAAAAUAAAAUUUGAGAAAAAAAUGAGAACAAGAAGAAAAAAAUAAAAAAUGAAGAGGCAAAAUAUGAAAAAAAAAUAAAAAGAAAAAAAUUUAUAGAAAAUUUUAAAACAAAGAAAAAAGUGAACAAAAAAAAUGAAAGCACAUAAAAAAAAAGUAAAAAAAAGAAGAAAAAUUUGAAAGGAGAAAAAGUUAAUGAAAAAUUAUAAAAAUGCAAUAGAAAAUAACCAAGAAUGAUAAAAGAAAAAAAGAUAGAAAAAUAAAAAAUUCUAAAACUUUAUAAAAAUUUAUGAAAUUAUAAAUAAAGAAAGAAAAUAAAAUACUACAAAAAAUUAAAGCAAAAGAAAAAAGAUAAAUAAAGCACAAAAAAACAAAAAUACUACAAAAAAUAUAAAAAGUAAGAAAAUGAAAAAGGACAAAAAUUGAAUAAAAAUUUCAAAAAUGAAAUGGAAUGACAAAAUGAAAAAAAUUAGUUUAAAAAAUACAAAAAAUUGAAAAACAUAUAAGUUCUAACAAUAUAAAAAGUUUGAGAAUUUAAAAACACAAAUAAGAAAUGAAAGGAAAUUUAUGGAAAAAAAAAAGAAUUGGAAUAAAAAAUAGAAAAAUAAAAUUUUUAAAACGACGAAAAAUUAAAAUAAGAAAAAAAAUUAAAGCAAAAGAAAAAAGAUAAAUAAAGCAUGAAAAAAAAAAACAAAAUACAAAAAAAAAUUAUAAAAGGUAAGAAAAUGAAAGAGGACAAAAAAUGAAUAAAAAUUUCAAAAAUGAAAUGGAAUGACAAAAUGAAAAUAAAAUUAGUUUAAAAAAUAAAAAAAAAAUUGAAAAACAUAUAAGACCUAACAAUAUAAAAAGUCAGACAAAAAAUUAAAAAAGAGAAAAGUUAAUGCAAAAUAAAAAAAAAAGUAUGAGAAUUUAAAAGCGCAAAUAAGAAAUGAAAGGAAAUUUGAGGAAAAAAAGAGACAAAAGAUUUGGAAUAAAAAAUAGAAAAAUAGAAAUUUUUAAAACAACAAAAAAAAUUAAAACAAGUAAAAAUGAAAGCUUAUGAAAAAAAAAGCAAAAAGAAGGCAAAUUAUGAAGGGAAAGAGUUAUUAAAAAAUUACAAAGUAGAAAAAAAAGAAAAUAAAAA